UCCUCUGUUUCCUGUGGGACUUCCACCCGAGAAGAGAUCGUCCCCCCCCCCCCCCCCAAAGAAGGAAAGCCUCCUCCUUUUAUAGACUCGGCAUCCCCUCUCUUUCUUCCUCUGUGCUGAUCCGAAUGGGAGAUAAACUCGUGGAGGCUUGAUCUGAUCCGGAUGAUUGCAAUAUCCAAUUUGGACGUUGGGAAGAAGAUGCUGGAUGCUUGAUUUACGAAGAGGAUUGGGCGCAUGGGAAGAGGCAGAUGGUUGGAAGUUAAGAUUGGAUCCACGGAUAAGAAUGAACUCGGAACAGGGGAGCUGGGACGGGUUGGAUUCAUGGGCGAUGAAGUCUAUCCAGAUGGGAGGAAUGCCGUGAAAUCGGAAGAAGAUAAAGAUAAUACUCUGUUUCAAAGCAGGGAAAAGAAAUGCAUGAACUUGUCCGUGGAUAAGAGAGAUAUGGCUGGACUCUGUUCCGAAGGAAGAGGAUGCUGGGAGAAGUGGUUUGGGAUGUUCAUCCGAUUGGGAAUCAAGGGAUGCUGUGAGUUGGUUUGAGUCCGUAGGGGAUGUAAUCCGAGAUCCAGGGGAUCACAAGCGGGAUGAGAGCUGAACUGUGGGAUCUUAGAUGUGGUUGAUGGAAAGCUAGUUCGGUUGGGAGGAAGUGGAUGAAUACGGAGACGUGUAAGUUGAAACAGGGGAUUCUUCCAUGGAGGGGAUCGGGAUGUGAAGACUCGGAUCCUGUUCCGAAGCAAGGGAGUGUGUUUGGAUAAGGAUGGAAGAGAGAAAGCUGAGAUGGAAGAAGAUAAAGAUGCUUCUUUUAGCUCGGAACAGGGGAGCUGGGAUAAAUCUUGGAUGUUAUUCGGAGAAGAGGAUGAGGCUUGGAUGACGAUAGGAAGGCUGGGAGCUAGCGGAAUCUAGUUGGGAUCAUUCGGCUGGGAAGUUUGGAAUGCCUGUGAAGUCUUGAGAUAAGAGCUGGGAUUUUAUCAAUGGCUUCAUUCCGAAAGAGGAGAUAAAAAUGCAAGCUGGGAAGAGAGCAUACGGUUGGGAACAGGGGAUUCGGAUAAGGCUUGGAUUCGUAAGAGCUUAUCCGUGGAGAUGAGAACGCUGGAGAUGGAGACGCUGUGAAUAAAAACGGGGAGGGGGAUCUGGACGUGGACGUGGAAGGAAUCCGAAGGAAGUUUCCUGGGAGAUGGNNN
RNAcentral lists this long non-coding RNA (1178 nucleotides) under Phoenix dactylifera (date palm). Its description in RNAcentral is "long non-coding RNA (PDAC_LNC007855)". The record is from RNAcentral. Lineage: Eukaryota; Viridiplantae; Streptophyta; Magnoliopsida; Arecales; Arecaceae.